GAUGAACGCUGGCGGCGUGCCUAAUACAUGCAAGUCGAGCGAACAGACGAGGAGCUUGCUCCUCGGACGUUAGCGGCGGACGGGUGAGUAACACGUGGAUAACCUACCUAUAAGACUGGGAUAACUUCGGGAAACCGGAGCUAAUACCGGAUAAUAUAUUGAACCGCAUGGUUCAAUAGUGAAAGACGGUUUUGCUGUCACGUAUAGAUGGAUCCGCGCCGCAUUGGCUAGUUGGUAAGGUAACGGGUUACCAAGGCAACGAUGCGUAGCCGACCUGAGAGGGUGAUCGGCCACACUGGAACUGAGCCACGCUCCAGACUCCUACGGGAGGCAGCAGUAGGGAAUCUUACGCAAUGGGCGAAAGCCUGACGGAGCAACGCCGCGUGAGUGAUGAGGGUCUUCGGAUCGUAAAACUCUGUUAUUAGGGAAGAACAAAUGUGUAAGUAACUAUGCACGUCUUGACGGUACCUAAUCAGAAAGCCACGGCUAACUACGUG
Molecule: ribosomal RNA, 497 nt
Filed under: uncultured bacterium
Lineage: Bacteria
Description: partial 16S ribosomal RNA
Rfam family: Bacterial small subunit ribosomal RNA
Source: RNAcentral